AUGGCGCCGGCGGCGACGGCCGGCCGGAGACCAGCCUCGUCUACAACGGCGUCGGAGGCGGAAGCGAAGGACGCCGAGAACCUCCGUCUCAUCGAGGAGAUGACCUCCAACGUGGACUCCGUGCAAGAGCGAGUCCUGGCCGAGAUCCUCUCCCGGAACGCCGCAACGGAGUACCUCAGGGACUGCGGCGGCCCCACCGACCGUGCCACCUUUCGGGACAAGGUGCCGGUGGUGUCGUACGACGCUCUGAAGCCGUACAUCCAGCGCAUCGCCAACGGAGACAGGUCGCCCAUCAUGUCGACGCACCCCGUCUCCGACUUCCUCACCAGCUCCGGCACCUCCGGCGGCGAGCGCAAGCUGAUUCCCAGCACCGCCGAGGAGGGCCGCCGACGCCAGCUUCCCUUCAGCCUCCUUAAGGCACUCAUGAACUUGCACUUCCCUGGGCUUGACAAGGGAAAGGGGCUCUACUUUCUCUUCGUCAAGUCGGAGAGCAAAACACCGGGCGGGCUCACGGCGUGGCCGAUGAUGACAAGCAUUUACAAGAGCGAGCAGUUCAAGGGCCCCUUGCGCGACCACACGAGCCCGAGGGCGGCCGUGCUCUGCGCCGACACGUCACAAAGCAUGUACGCGCAGAUGGUGUGCGGCCUGUGCCAGCGCCACGACGUCCUCCGCGUCGGCGCCGCCUUCGCCUCCGGCCUCUUGCGCGCCAUCCGCUUCCUCCAGCUCAACUGGGAGCAGCUCGCCGCCGACAUCGAGGCCGGCACGCUCGCCCCGUGCGUGAGCGACGCGUCGGUGCGCGAGGCGGUCGCCGGCAUCCUCCGCCGCCCGGACCCCGAGCUCGCCCAGCUCGUCCGGGACGAAUGCCGCACGGGCGAAUGGGCCGGCAUCAUCCCGCGCAUCUGGCCCAACGCGAGGUACCUCGAGGCCAUCGUCCGGCCUUGGAAUACUACACCGACGGCCUUCCGGCCUUGGAAUACUACACCGGCGGCCUGCCGUUGGUGUCCAUCUCCUACGCGUCCUCCGAGUGCUACUUCGGCAUCAAUCUUCAGCCGCUGUGCAACCCGACCGACGUUUCUUACACCAUCAUGCCCAACAUGGCCUACUUCGAGUUCCUCCCCGUGGACGACACCACCACAGGCGAGGCCGUGGCACCAGAAGGUGACGCGGCCCGGCUGGUAG
Molecule: ribosomal RNA, 1179 nt
Filed under: Triticum aestivum (bread wheat)
Lineage: Eukaryota; Viridiplantae; Streptophyta; Magnoliopsida; Poales; Poaceae
Description: partial small subunit ribosomal RNA
Source: RNAcentral